RNAcentral lists this ribosomal RNA (897 nucleotides) under Entomophthora muscae. RNAcentral's name for it is "eukaryotic LSU rRNA". It matches the Rfam family "Eukaryotic large subunit ribosomal RNA", at positions 74 to 919 of the family's 3401-position model. Lineage: Eukaryota; Fungi; Entomophthoromycota; Entomophthoromycetes; Entomophthorales; Entomophthoraceae. The record is from RNAcentral.
AUUCCCGUAGUAAUGGCGAAUGAACUGGGAAAGGCUCAAAUUUAAAAUCACUUUUGUGAAUUGUAGUUUAAAGGAAAUUAGUCUCACAGCAAUCGCUAGUUAAGUAUUCUGGAAUGGAUCGUCAAGGAGGGUGAAAUUCCCGUAUACACUAGAUAGAAAGCUGCAAAGAACUUUUAUCCUACGAGUCGUGUUGCUUGUUAAUGCAGCAUUAAUUGGGAGGUAAAUUCCUUCUAAAGCUAAAUAUAAGAGAGAGACCGAUAGCAAACAAGUACCGUGAGGGAAAGAUGAAAGAGAACCCUGAAAAGGGGACUCAAAAGAAUGUGAAAUUGUCAAAAGGUAAGCGCUAAGAAUUGUUCGGAAUCUGAAUUUCAACUUUGAUCAGAGGAAACUCUGUAGUUAAAAUUUGGGUGGCUAUAGCUUUUGUUUUGACUAUCAAGAAUUUUGGGAUAGAGAUUGUAGGCCUCGGCUUACCUUUUCUUGAACUUGACAAUUGACUGUUGAAGCAGGAGUAAAAGUCUCACAAAGGUGUUGAUGAGGGGCACUUUCUCUUAUAGGCUUGCCUAGAGGAGUCAGGAACUUUAUCUUCUUUUUUAUGAGUUCUUAUAGUUAGAAGGUUCUAAGCGUCCCGUCUUGAAACACGGACCAAGGAGUCUAACAAAUAUGCAAGUAUAUGGGCGUCAAACCUCAGAUGCGUAAUGAAAGUAAUUUCAGGUAGGAUCUCGCAAGAGUGCACUAUCAACCGAACCUUAUGGACUUGUUCAUAGGAUUUGAGUGAGAGCAUAUUUGUUGGUACCCGAAAGAUGGUGAACUAUGCCUGAAUAGGGUGAAGCCAGAGGAAACUCUGGUGGAGGCUCGUAGCGAUUCUGACGUGCAAAUCGAUCGUCGAAUUUGGGUAUA